This 422-nucleotide long non-coding RNA is filed under the name Olea europaea (common olive). RNAcentral describes it as "long non-coding RNA (OEUR_LNC010656)". Lineage: Eukaryota; Viridiplantae; Streptophyta; Magnoliopsida; Lamiales; Oleaceae. The record is from RNAcentral.
UAUAUUGAACCGCUUGAAGAUAUGAUAAUUCAAAUAGAUUAAAAUGCAUAAUUACGAGUUUUCACUCAACUUAAAUUUUUUUCAUACCUUAAAAUCAAUAAAUUCUGAAUGCUAAUUGGUACUCGUGAAGACAUAAAUAUUUAUAUAGCCUCUAUUUUUCUUUUUGUUGAAAUUAAGUAACACAAAAAAAAAAUAAUAAUAAAUAAAUAAAUUAUAUAUAUCAAAUCAAAUAUAAUAAUUAAAAGGAAAAUCACAAAUCGUGUGUCUGGAGAUAAACAAUUAUGAGGAACUACAGUUGAGUGAUUUUUUAUUUUUUUUAACUCAAAACAUUAGAUAGGUCGAGUGGAGAAAGAUUAGAGAGAGAGAGAGAGAUCUUUAUCUGCUCUCUCACGUGCAUAGGUGGCAGUGAUAUUUUGCUCAUG